GUUCUUCAUAUUUACAAAUACCAUAAGCAUGAUCUUCGCCAUAAUCAUAUUUUUUAUCAUGUGACGACUUGGGGGGAGUGCGUAUUAAUACAAAGGCUGGAUGAUCCCGAAAAAAAUAAGACCAAAUUAAGACCCACAUAUAUUGCCAUCUAAUUGAACUGAAGAAAGUUAAGCCACUGGAACCUUAACAGGAUACUUGUGAAUGGAAUCAAUCCAUGGGUUACCCCUUGAUUCGCCCAGGGAAAUGGCCCUGAGCGCUUUCCACACCGCACUAUUGCACUUGAAACCUGACCCGAAAGCAAUCUGCCACACUCUGUCCCCACCCGAGACCCGACCUUUGGCUUCUGUAUAUGCCAGUUCAUACCACAAUGAGCUACUGGAAGUGUUACCGAAUCUAUGCAGAGUCAUUCUUGAUGGUUCCAUGUGCCAAUCACUGAGAUGCAAAUUCUUCUGCAACUCGUCCAGAACUGCUCUCCCACCAGCAUGUAUACAGAAAUGUUCGAAAGCAAGUUUGA
RNAcentral lists this unclassified non-coding RNA (515 nucleotides) under Hevea brasiliensis (rubber tree). Lineage: Eukaryota; Viridiplantae; Streptophyta; Magnoliopsida; Malpighiales; Euphorbiaceae. The record is from RNAcentral.